Molecule: long non-coding RNA, 216 nt
Filed under: Zostera marina
Lineage: Eukaryota; Viridiplantae; Streptophyta; Magnoliopsida; Alismatales; Zosteraceae
Description: long non-coding RNA (ZMAR_LNC005010)
Source: RNAcentral
AACAUGGCACCAGAGCUAGAAGAAGGGGCUUAUACCUCUUCUCACGUAGGACCUGCUUCCGCUGCAGAGAAAAAAACAGGGAUGAACGCAAGAAAAUUGAUCACCAAACAGAUCAAAUGUGUUAUGCUAGAAGAGGAGAACUUCUUUUGCUGGAAAGCACAAUUUUUCAGCAUUGUUGAAAGGGUAUCACCUUCUAGGUAGAAAUCACGUCGGGAA